Raphanus sativus (radish) is the source of this 749-nucleotide RNA transcript. It is a transcript of the gene named tobamovirus multiplication protein 2B, with no coding region annotated. NCBI's taxonomy places the organism in Eukaryota, Viridiplantae, Streptophyta, Magnoliopsida, Brassicales, Brassicaceae. The transcript is spliced from 6 exons. The record is from RefSeq and is a predicted model, not a curated record.
UUGCCAUUUGUUAAAAAAAAAUCGAAGGGGGAAAAAACAGGGAGAUAUGGCGACGGGAUCGGAGAACGCAAGAGGAGGAGGUGAUAAAACGGCGAAGGCAGUAGUCGCCGAUCAGAUAUCGCAGGCUGUUAAUUCUACUGCUAACCUUCUCCAUCUCAUGCGUCAAUCUUCUUCUGCUCAGGCCCAGUUGGCAAAGCUCCCAAAGAAUCUUUUGGCCAAAGCUUCUUUAACUAAGGCCACUGGACAAGCCUUGGCGCAGCUUCCUCAAGUGAUUUCAUCCUUGGAUGCCCAUAUAGAAAGCGGCUUGAACAGUGGAGUUCAUUUAAACACAGUAACCCAAUUACUUGAAAACAUGGAAAGCACGCAGCUUCGUGCUCUUCGACAAUCUAACUUAUCCCCUGUCGUGGACAACAAUCAAUCUCCAGAGUAGCGUUGAACAUUUCAGAUAACUGUUUCCUCAGUAGUACAUAUGUUCUUCUCCAUUAAACUUUUUCAUAAGUAUUGAUGAUGUGAACCAGUCUACUUGUAUAGCGGGCCAAAAGGAACCCACAACCGAGUAGUCUUCUGUCGAAUCCCAAAGUGGCAUGAAAACUGCUUAGAAACAAGUGGCAUUAAAGAAUCAGACAAGCAAUGAGAUUAUUUAGAAUUUGUGUUUGGAUUCUUCUUGCUAGUCGACACGUCCUCCUGUACAGCCCGCUCUGCACACUCAACUAUAGCUUAUAUUAUUACCCGAAUGGCCGUCGAACUAA